This 547-nucleotide ribosomal RNA is filed under the name uncultured bacterium. RNAcentral's name for it is "bacterial SSU rRNA". It matches the Rfam family "Bacterial small subunit ribosomal RNA", at positions 355 to 896 of the family's 1533-position model. The record is from RNAcentral.
UGGGGAAUAUUGGACAAUGGGGGGAACCCUGAUCCAGCCAUGCCGCGUGUGUGAAGAAGGCCUUAUGGUUGUAAAGUUCUUUCGGUAUUGAGGAAGGUUGAUGUGUUAAUAGCACAUCAAAUUGACGUUAAAUACAGAAGAAGCACCGGCUAACUCCGUGCCAGCAGCCGCGGUAAUACGGAGGGUGCGAGCGUUAAUCGGAAUAACUGGGCGUAAAGGGCACGCAGGCGGUUAUUUAAGUGAGGUGUGAAAGCCCCGGGCUUAACCUGGGAAUUGCAUUUCAGACUGGGUAACUAGAGUACUUUAGGGAGGGGUAGAAUUCCACGUGUAGCGGUGAAAUGCGUAGAGAUGUGGAGGAAUACCGAAGGCGAAGGCAGCCCCUUGGGAAUGUACUGACGCUCAUGUGCGAAAGCGUGGGGAGCAAACAGGAUUAGAUACCCUGGUAGUCCACGCUGUAAACGCUGUCGAUUUGGGGGUUGGGGUUUAACUCUGGCGCCCGUAGCUAACGUGAUAAAUCGACCGCCUGGGGAGUACGGCCGCAAGGUUA